GACGAACGCUGGCGGCGUGCCUAAUACAUGCAAGUCGAACGCUGAAGGAGGAGCUUGCUUCUCUGGAUGAGUUGCGAACGGGUGAGUAACGCGUAGGUAACCUGCCUGGUAGCGGGGGAUAACUAUUGGAAACGAUAGCUAAUACCGCAUAAGAGUAGAUGUCGCAUGACAUUUGCUUAAAAGGUGCAAUUGCAUCACUACCAGAUGGACCUGCGUUGUAUUAGCUAGUUGGUGAGGUAACGGCUCACCAAGGCAACGAUACAUAGCCGACCUGAGAGGGGGAGCGGCCACGCUGGUACUGAGACACGGCCCAGACUCCUGCGGGAGGCAGCAGUAGGGAAUCUUCGGCAAAGGACGGAAGGCGGACCGAGCAACGCUGCGUGAGUGAAGAAUGUAUUCGGGUCGUAAAGGUCUGUUGUAAGAUAAGAACGAGUGUGAGAGUGGAAAGUGCACACUGUGACGGUAUCUGACCAGAAAGGGACGGCUAACUACGUG
RNAcentral lists this ribosomal RNA (495 nucleotides) under uncultured bacterium. Its description in RNAcentral is "partial 16S ribosomal RNA". It matches the Rfam family "Bacterial small subunit ribosomal RNA", at positions 28 to 507 of the family's 1533-position model. The record is from RNAcentral.